Long non-coding RNA from Arvicola amphibius (Eurasian water vole), 363 nucleotides. RefSeq lists it as uncharacterized. Lineage: Eukaryota; Metazoa; Chordata; Mammalia; Rodentia; Cricetidae. The record is from RefSeq and is a predicted model, not a curated record. The transcript is spliced from 3 exons.
GGGAAAAUCAAUCCCCCAGAGACCUGGGAAAUGGCUAACAGCCCUUGGAGCCCACACUGCCAAUCUCUAUCAGACAAAGAAAUGCCCCAGGGCUCAGAGUGACAGGGCCCAGGCUGAAGACAGCAACGUGACCAGCAGGCUCACGCCCCUCUCCGGGUCUCUGGACCUGCCCCGGCUCACUCCCUCCAGCCCGCCAUCCCCGGCUGAGGCACCUGUUCCCAGUCUCGCGGUUGGUGGCGCAGAGCGCGGGUCCGGACAGCGCGGACAGCCGGAGCCGGAGGAGCAGGUCCCAGGAGCCCAGCUUCGCAGCGCACCUGGUGGUGAGAGCAUCGCCCCCCAGGAGAAGGCAAAGAUAGGCCCAGG